Molecule: ribosomal RNA, 247 nt
Filed under: uncultured bacterium
Lineage: Bacteria
Description: partial 16S ribosomal RNA
Rfam family: Bacterial small subunit ribosomal RNA
Source: RNAcentral
GGGUGCAAGCGUUGUUCGGAAUUACUGGGCGUAAAGCGCGCGUAGGCGGCUUUGUAAGUUAGAGGUGAAAGCCCGGAGCUCAACUCCGGAAUUGCCUUUAAGACUGCAUCGCUAGAAUCAUGGAGAGGUGAGUGGAAUUCCGAGUGUAGAGGUGAAAUUCGUAGAUAUUCGGAAGAACACCAGUGGCGAAGGCGACUCACUGGACAUGUAUUGACGCUGAGGUGCGAAAGCGUGGGGAGCAAACAGG